UUGGAUUUACUACUUGAAUGUUGGUAUUUUCAAUGGAUUGAGUUGCAAAGUGUUCGACCCCGAGUAUUUUGACCUUCCAGAACCCUUACACGAACCACUUAGAAACCGUGAUUUGAAGCCAUCUACAAUUUUUGGGCCGACUUGUGAUUCUAAUGACGUCAUCAUGGCUAACUGUAUGUUGCCUGAGAUGGACACUGGAGAGUUUGUCUUGUUCCAUGAUAUGGGAGGCUAUACCGCUACGUGUGCAUGCGAUUUUAACGGUUUCAGCUUGCCGUCAACGUGGUACAUUGCACCCAAAGAGAUCCGACUCGUUCUGGAGAAGAAUUUUCCAGCACAUUAGACUUUUUGGUUUCGGCUUAAGCCAGAAGUCAGUUCCCGAGUGAAAGUCUGACGUAACAAUAGGGUGUGCAACCAUUUUCCAGCUUUUCGUCAUGGUGGAUGUUCAUGGUCGGGGCAGUAUAUUGUUGAUGUACCCCAACAUGGCGCGGCCCCUAUAACGUGGCACAGUGAUUUUUAUAGCGCCUAGCUAGAGUAAAAGGUUUAACUGAAAUUUCACAGAAAGUGCAGUUUCAUCAAGUUCUAAGCACUCCCGUUGAUAAAUCACGAGUUUAUCUACCUGUUCAAAAAGUUAGAAGAAACAUUUAGUUCGGCGUGAUUUUCCGAUUUAUUUCGAAUGUAAC
Molecule: long non-coding RNA, 680 nt
Organism: Patiria miniata (bat star)
Lineage: Eukaryota; Metazoa; Echinodermata; Asteroidea; Valvatida; Asterinidae
Exons: 4
Source: RefSeq, a predicted model, not a curated record